AUGCGGCGUCGUAUACCCCCCAGAAAGAAAACCCCCGAAACAAAUGGAAAAUCGAACCUCCUCCGAUUUCCCAACCCCCAGGACGCCUAUGGUUUCGCUGUGCGGCCACAGCACUUGCAACGGUACAGAGAGUAUGCAAACAUCUACCAGGAGGAGGAAGAGGAGCGGUCUGAUAGAUGGAAGAACUUUCUGGAUAGGCAGGCAGAAGACGAUGAAUCAUCUGGAGAAGAUGCUAAGAUUGCACCGUCCAUUGAGGAUGAAGGAGCUAUAGGCGAUGCUGGCAGGACUGACCUGCCUGAUGAGAAGACAGCCAAACAGCAGAGACCACAUAAGAUCCAAAUAUGGUCUGAAAUCAGGCCUUCACUGGGCCACAUUGGGGAGCUGAUGAGCUUGCGUGUCAAGAAGAAGAAGAAGCAAUCUUCUGCUGACGAGGAGAACACUGAAGAUAUCAAGCCCUCAGAGGACUCUGAUGAUGAGUUCUAUGAUGUAGAGAAGGUUGAUCCCAGCGAAGGGCCUGUUGCUGACAGCACCAAUGCGGAUUCAGGAACGAAUAGAGCUGCAAGUCAAGAAGGGUAUUUUCCUUGGAAAGAAGAAUUGGAGUGCUUAGUUCGUGGUGGGUUGCCAAUGGCUCUGAGAGGAGAGCUAUGGCAAGCUUUUGUUGGUAUUGGAGCUCGCCGAGUGAAAGGGUACUACGAGAGUCUCCUUGGGGUGGUUGAUGGAGGCGGAGACAGCAAAGGUUCCGAUUCUCCGACUAAGGAAUGUGGCGACGGAAAACCAAAAGCAUCUCAAGAUCUUUCUUCAGAAAAGUGGAAAGGGCAAAUAGAGAAGGAUUUGCCUAGAACAUUUCCAGGCCAUCCAGCUCUAGACGAGGAUGGCAGAAAUGCUUUAAGACGCUUGCUCACAGCUUAUGCUAGACAUAAUCCAUCAGUCGGUUACUGCCAGGCAAUGAACUUCUUUGCUGGUCUAUUACUUCUAUUGAUGUCUGAGGAGAACGCAUUCUGGGCAUUGACAGGCAUUAUGGAUGACUAUUUUGAGGGUUACUUCUCUGAAGAAAUGAUCGAGUCUCAGGUGGAUCAGCUUGUUUUAGAGGAGUUGGUCAGAGAGAAAUUCCCCAAGUUAGUAAAUCACUUGGACUACCUUGGUGUACAAGUUGCAUGGGUUGCUGGACCAUGGUUCCUAUCUAUAUACAUGAACAUGCUUCCCUGGGAAACUGUUCUUCGUGUGUGGGAUGUGCUUCUGUUUGAUGGAAAUCGUGUGAUGCUCUUCCGGACAGCCCUUGCACUUAUGGAGUUGUAUGGUCCUGCACUUGUGACAACGAAAGAUGCUGGGGACGCCGUAACUCUCUUACAGUCUUUAGCUGGUUCCACUUUUGACAGCAGCCAGCUUGUUUUAACAGCUUGCAUGGGAUAUCAAGCUGUAGAUGAAGCAAGGCUUCAAGAUCUGAGAAAUAAACACCGGCCAUCUGUUUUGUCUUCAAUGGAAAACAGAGCAAAAGGUCUUCUUGCAUGGAGGAGCACCAACGGUCUUGCAUCAAAGCUAUACAAUUUCAAGCGUGACACUGAACCAUUGGUGUCAAUAUCAACAGAACAGUUGAAUGACUCAACAGAUGGGGAUGCUAACCAAGAAACCAGUUCUGCAAAUAUUGAUGAUAUGUAUCAUGGCUUGACUGUCAACACUGAGAUUGAUUCUAUGCCUGAUCCCAAAGAUCAGGUUAUCUGGCUGAAGGUUGAGCUAUGUAGAUUGCUAGAGGAGAGAAGAUCAGCUGUUCUGAGGGCUGAUGAACUAGAGACAGCACUGAUGGAGAUGGUUAAGCAAGAUAAUCGACGUGAAUUAAGUGCAAAGGUAGAGCAGUUAGAACAAGAAUUAUCCGAGCUAAGGCAAUCUCUAUCAGACAAGGAGGAACAGGAACAAGCAAUGCUUCAGGUCCUCAUGCGUGUAGAGCAAGAACAGAAGGUUACAGAGGAUGCCCGCAUCUUUGCUGAGCAAGAUGCAGCUGCUCAGAAAUUUGCUUCACAUGUCCUUCAGGAAAAGUAUGAUGAAGCUAUGGCUUCACUCACGCAAAUGGAGAACAGAGCAGUCAUGGCAGAAACAAUGUUGGAGGCAACACUUCAAUACCAAUCUAGCCAUCAGAAAGCACAACUACCAUCCCCUUCUCCUUCUCCAAGGACACCAACGCGAGACGCAUCUCCUGGCCAAGUGAACCAAGAUUCAUCACAGGAGUUUCAGCCUAGAAAAAUAAGUUUGCUUGCCCCAUUUUCACUCAGUUGGCGUGACAAGAACAAGGGCAAACAAGACGAGUCAACAAACGGCAAGCUUAAUAACAACACUGAGCAAAGUGUUGAGACACCAAAGACAGACCACGGAAACCAGGAGGCCACGCCUAAAGAGGGUGAACAGCGAGUGGAGACACCCAACAGGGAUGAACCCGGAUUGGAGACGGCCAAGAUGGACAGCGAUGUGCCAACUGUCGAGACGACCACGGAUAAAAUGAACGGGCAGGAAGGACAUUUAGAAGAAAUAAAACUGGAUUGA
Molecule: ribosomal RNA, 2532 nt
Filed under: Triticum aestivum (bread wheat)
Lineage: Eukaryota; Viridiplantae; Streptophyta; Magnoliopsida; Poales; Poaceae
Description: partial small subunit ribosomal RNA
Source: RNAcentral